GACGAACGCUGGCGGCGUGCUUAACACAUGCAAGUCGAACGGAAAGGCCCUGCUUUUGUGGGGUGCUCGAGUGGCGAACGGGUGAGUAACACGUGAGUAACCUGCCCUUGACUUUGGGAUAACUUCAGGAAACUGGGGCUAAUACCGGAUAGGAGCUCCUGCUGCACGGUGGGGGUUGGUAAGUUUCGGCGGUUUGGGAUGGUCUCGCGGCUUAUCAGCUUGUUGGUGGGGUAGUGGUUUACCAAGGUUUUGACGGGUAGCCCGCCUGAGAGGGUGACCGGCCACAUUGGUACUGAGAUACGCACCAGACUCCUACGGUAGGCAGCGGUGGGGAAUAUUGCGCAAUGGGCGGAAGCCUGAUGCAGCAACGCCGCGUGCGUGAUGACGGCCUUCUGGUUGUAAACCGCUUUCGCCGGUGACGAAGCGUGAGUGACGGUAAUGGGUAAAAAAGCACCGGCUAACUACGUG
RNAcentral lists this ribosomal RNA (468 nucleotides) under uncultured bacterium. RNAcentral describes it as "partial 16S ribosomal RNA". It matches the Rfam family "Bacterial small subunit ribosomal RNA", at positions 28 to 507 of the family's 1533-position model. The record is from RNAcentral.